This 253-nucleotide ribosomal RNA is filed under the name uncultured bacterium. RNAcentral's name for it is "partial 16S ribosomal RNA". It matches the Rfam family "Bacterial small subunit ribosomal RNA", at positions 524 to 776 of the family's 1533-position model. The record is from RNAcentral.
UACGUAGGGUGCGAGCGUUGUCCGGAAUUAUUGGGCGUAAAGAGCUCGUAGGCGGUUUGUCACGUCUGCUGUGAAAUCCCGAGGCUCAACCUCAGGCCUGCAGUGGGUACGGGCAGACUGGAGUGCGGUAGGGGAGAAUGGAAUUCCUGGUGUAGCAGUGAAAUGCGCAGAUAUCAGGAGGAACACCGGUGGCGAAGGCGGGUCUCUGGGCCGUAACUGACGCUGAGGAGCGAAAGCAUGGGGAGCGAACAGG